AUGAACGCUGGCGGCGUGCCUAAUACCUGCAAGUCGAGCGAACGGACGAGAAGCUUGCUUUUCUGAUGUUAGCGGCGGACGGGUGAGUAACACGUGGAUAACCUACCUAUAAGACUGGGAUAACUUCGGGAAACCGGAGCUAAUACCGGAUAAUAUUUUGAACCGCAUGGUUCAAAAGUGAAAGACGGUCUUGCUGUCACUUAUAGAUGGAUCCGCGCUGCAUUAGCUAGUUGGUAAGGUAACGGCUUACCAAGGCAACGAUGCAUAGCCGACCUGAGAGGGUGAUCGGCCACACUGGAACUGAGACACGGUCCAGACUCCUACGGGAGGCAGCAGUAGGGAAUCUUCCGCAAUGGGCGAAAGCCUGACGGAGCAACGCCGCGUGAGUGAUGAAGGUCUUCGGAUCGUAAAACUCUGUUAUUAGGGAAGAACAUAUGUGUAAGUAACUGUGCACAUCUUGACGGUACCUAAUCAGAAAGCCACGGCUAACUACGUG
RNAcentral lists this ribosomal RNA (496 nucleotides) under uncultured bacterium. RNAcentral's name for it is "partial 16S ribosomal RNA". It matches the Rfam family "Bacterial small subunit ribosomal RNA", at positions 29 to 507 of the family's 1533-position model. The record is from RNAcentral.